Molecule: ribosomal RNA, 491 nt
Filed under: uncultured bacterium
Lineage: Bacteria
Description: partial 16S ribosomal RNA
Rfam family: Bacterial small subunit ribosomal RNA
Source: RNAcentral
GAUGAACGCUGGCUACAGGCUUAACACAUGCAAGUCGAGGGGAAACGACGGGGAAGCUUGCUUCCCCGGGCGUCGACCGGCGCACGGGUGAGUAACGCGUAUCCAACCUGCCUCUGACUGAGGGAUAACCCGUCGAAAGUCGGCCUAAUACCUCAUGGCAUCGUCUGCGGGCAUCCAACGACGAUUAAAGAUUUCAUCGGUCAGGGAUGGGGAUGCGUCUGAUUAGCUUGUUGGCGGGGUAACGGCCCACCAAGGCUACGAUCAGUAGGGGUUCUGAGAGGAAGGUCCCCCACAUUGGAACUGAGACCCGGUCCAAACUCCUACGGGAGGCAGCAGUGAGGAAUAUUGGUCAAUGGGCGGGAGCCUGAACCAGCCAAGUAGCGUGCAGGAUGACGGCCCUAUGGGUUGUAAACUGCUUUUAUGCGGGGAUAAAGUGAGGGACGUGUCCUUCAUUGCAGGUACCGCAUGAAUAAGGACCGGCUAAUUCCGUG